GAUGAACGCUGGCGGCGUGCCUAAUACAUGCCAGUCGAGCGAACAGACGAGGAGCUUGCUCCUCUGACGUUAGCGGCGGACGGGUGAGUAACACGUGGAUAACCUACCUAUAAGACUGGGAUAACUUCGGGAAACCGGAGCUAAUACCGGAUAAUAUAUUGAACCGCAUGGUUCAAUAGUGAAAGACGGUUUUGCUGUCACCUAUAGAUGGAUCCGCGCCGCAUUAGCUAGUUGGUAAGGUAACGGCUUACCAAGGCAACGAUGCGUAGCCGACCUGAGAGGGUGAUCGGCCACACUGGAACUGAGACACGGUCCAGACUCCUACGGGAGGCAGCAGUAGGGAAUCUUCCGCAAUGGGUGAAAGCCUGACGGAGCAACGCCGCGUGAGUGAUGAAGGUCUUCGGAUCGUAAAACUCUGUUAUUAGGGAAGAACAAAUGUGUAAGUAACUAUGCACGUCUUGACGGUACCUAAUCAGAAAGCCACGGCUAACUACGUG
This 497-nucleotide ribosomal RNA is filed under the name uncultured bacterium. RNAcentral describes it as "partial 16S ribosomal RNA". It matches the Rfam family "Bacterial small subunit ribosomal RNA", at positions 28 to 507 of the family's 1533-position model. The record is from RNAcentral.